This 253-nucleotide ribosomal RNA is filed under the name uncultured bacterium. RNAcentral describes it as "partial 16S ribosomal RNA". It matches the Rfam family "Bacterial small subunit ribosomal RNA", at positions 524 to 776 of the family's 1533-position model. The record is from RNAcentral.
UACAGAGGUCUCAAGCGUUGUUCGGAUUCAUUGGGCGUAAAGGGUGCGUAGGCGGCGUGGUAAGUCGGAUGUGAAAUCUCGGGGCUUAACUCCGAAACUGCAUUCGAUACUACCGUGCUUGAGGACUGGAGAGGAGACUGGAAUUUACGGUGUAGCGGUGAAAUGCGUAGAUAUCGUAAGGAAGACCAGUGGCGAAGGCGGGUCUCUGGACAGUUCCUGACGCUGAGGCACGAAGGCCAGGAGAGCAAACGGG